This is a non-coding RNA of Podarcis lilfordi (Lilford's wall lizard), 875 nucleotides long. The record is from the annotation of a GenBank genome assembly. Lineage: Eukaryota; Metazoa; Chordata; Lepidosauria; Squamata; Lacertidae.
GACGGGCCCACGGCUGAAAAAGGUUGCUGACCCCUGCUCUCCCAUGGACUGCAAGAAGAUCAAACCUAUCCAUUUUGAAGGAAAUCAGCCCGGAGUGCUCACUGGAAGGACAGAUCCUGAAGCUGAGGCUCCAAUACUUUGGCCACCUCAUGAGAAGAGAAGACUCCCUGGAAAAGACCCUGAUGUUGGGAAAGACUGAGGGCACAAGGAGAAGGGGACAACAGAGGACGAGAUGGUUGGACAGUGUUCUCAAAGCUACUAACGUGAGUUUGACCAAACUGCUGGAGGCAGUAGAUGACAGGAGUGCCUGGCGUCCUCUGGUCCAUGGGGUCACGAAGAGUCGGACACAACUAAACAACUAAACAACAUAAGUGAUUGGUAUGCAACAACAGCAGCAAGGAUACUACUCGCAAAACAUUGGAAAACUCAAGAUCUACCCACACUGGAAGAAUGGCAGAUGCAACUUAUAGACUAUAUGCAACUGGCUGAAAUGACUGGCAGAAUCCGUGACCUGGGAGAAGAGAGAAUCGAGGAGGAUUGGAAGAAAUUUAAGAACUACCUACAAAAACAUUGUGAUUUGACUGAAUGCUGAAUAAGAUGCUAGACUAAAUAACUGAGCACCACUUAACUUAGAAGUUUUUAAGAAAAUAAGAAAAACUGUGAAAGUUUAACUCUUUAUGAGAACUAUAAGAUUAUGAAAUACCGAAGAGAUAUAAGAAUUUAAAUAAGAUGAUAAAUUGCUGACAAAAUGUUAUAAUGAUGAAGGUGGGAGCGGGAGGUGUGAGGAAGUCCAAAGAAAAUGUGAAAUUAUGUUAAAACGAAUGUUAUAUUGUUUAUUACAUUUAUUCUUAUUGUAAAAUCCAAUAAAUUGCUUU